AAGUCUCCUGGCUUUAGGGCUGCUUCCCUAUAAAGUGGAGCUCCAUUAAGGGUGACAGGUCCUCCUCUGAAUGGACGCGCCAAGGCUAAGGAAGAACGAGAACCAGAAGUAUAAUUGCAGACAGUAUUGGCUCGGUGUCAGGGUACCUUGACCGCGUGGUUGCUCUGGGACGGCUGAGUCUCUUCUGAUCAGGAGGUGUCGGGCAAGCAGGUCAGGGGCUGAGAGAACGCCGAGGGUCAUUGCUAGCGUUGUUGCCCUGACGACGUCUUAGACUCAGGUUCAUAUCACUAAUACUCCUCCUGAGUUCUGUGUUCCGCCCUCGAUGACCUCGUUCUUCUUCUGCACCACCCCCGGAGGACAUGCGGCUCCGCCUCCAACGUACUCCUGUUACCACAAUAGUGUUUUCCCACAAAUUAAUGGGCACACUGGCGCUGGAUCUCAAACCGUCGUUCGAAACCAUCCUUUGGUCUCCACAUAUCCACUAGCUGUAAGGGGCAUUCCCAGGAUGCCACGCCCCUUCGGCACUCGGUUUGCCAUUUAAUGGCUCCAUCUGGCUGCUGAAUGGGCUUUCCAAUGACAUCACAUAACAGGAAGUCCUCGGGGGAAUAUUUCUGGAGAGCUGACCAGUGUAGCGGGUGAUGACCUGCUGAAUGAGCUGGCGAGCAGUGGAGUUCAUGUUUGCCAGCAGGCUCCGAUAGUUAGCCCCACUGGAUAGGGCAUCUCCAUAGAUCUUGACCAGCCCAGGGGCAUUAGAGGAAGCAGGAGGCAGGUAGUGAUGUGAUGAAGGGGUGGCAGAAUGCGCCCAUAUUUCCCUCUCACGUUCUCCAAUGGCACGGUCUCGGUCACUGUUGGACCGGCCUCUCAGGAAAAGAGAGUAAGAGAAAGUUCAGAACACUGACUUGACUGAUGCUGCACUGGGCCAACGAGCUCCCAGCUUGGCAAAGUGUUUCCGUGGAGAAUUUAUCCACAAGCCCACUGGGAAAUGGAGCUUCCUAAAUCGGGGACUGCCAGACUCCUCCAUCUGAGGGAGUGAGAGAGGGAGGAGGGCUUCUGAAAAAAAAAAAGAGGAAGCAGGAAACCUGGGACAGGAUGUCAAAGACAGAGAGGCACCUGUAACCUUUAACCUUGUCAACAACAGAAUGAUGUGUCAGGAAAGAAGCAUUUGUAUAUUUAUGUGAAUGUGUGUAUAUCUAUAUAUCCUAUUUGAGUGUAAUGCAAGGUUUGAGAGGUUUAUGCACAAAACAAGAAUAAAAUAGUAAAAU
Molecule: long non-coding RNA, 1262 nt
Organism: Megalobrama amblycephala (Wuchang bream)
Lineage: Eukaryota; Metazoa; Chordata; Actinopteri; Cypriniformes; Xenocyprididae
Exons: 7
Source: RefSeq, a predicted model, not a curated record